Molecule: long non-coding RNA, 2642 nt
Organism: Hydractinia symbiolongicarpus
Lineage: Eukaryota; Metazoa; Cnidaria; Hydrozoa; Anthoathecata; Hydractiniidae
Exons: 3
Source: RefSeq, a predicted model, not a curated record
AAUUGGGAAGAUAAAAAGAAGUAACAAUAACGAAAUAAAUAGAUCCUAUUAUAUAAAAAAAUGCAGUAUUUAUAAAAUCAUUUCUAUCAGAAAAUACGUAUGACAAUGCUAAAUUCUUUCACCAAAAAAAGAGAGCGAAAGGAGAAAUAUACAAGAACAUCCUGUCCACCUCCUAAAUGUCGUGGUGGAAAAACAAUGCUAAAUUCUUUCACCGAAAAAAGAGAGCGAAAGGAGAAAUAUACAAGAAUCAUUUGAAAGGUGGAGUUCAUCAGAUUGUAUCGUUUGAUGCUUUACCGACAUAUAUACGGUGUUCAUUGGACUGCGACCUUUUUUAGUGGAAAUGCGGCAGAUUUCUUAAAUAAUUUGCACAGUAAGGAAACCCACCUUAUCUGUUAUGGUUCGUUAGUAUCACUUUUGAUAUGUGCGUCCAGUUUUUUACGUAAUUCACCAAUACGUGUGGUCAGCUGGUUAAUGUUGUUUUUCAAUCGUUGUAUAAUCUAUAACGCAAGAGUGAAGUCUCCAGUGAAGUCAGGAAAGGCUAGUGUGAAAAGGAUAGAUAAUACAAAACAAUAAUAAUAUCUUACGCUUUCAUCACAAGCUCCACGCAGGCCUUUAUCUCCGAGGGCACCAGCAGGUCCUUUUGGUCCAACAUCCCCUGGAAAACCUUUCGAUCCAGAAGCUCCGGGUUCCCCUUGUCGACCGUGAAUUCCUUCAUGACCAUGAUCUCCUCUUAGACCCUUAAUAUUAAACCAGAAUUACGGUAAAAAAGAAUUAAAAGUGACUAUUGCCCCUGCGAAAAGUUAAAAAAAAACUUUCUUUCUAUAACUGACUGUUGACAUAAUGUUCAGUUAUAGCGAACUCUGCAUCUUAAAUUCUAUUUUGAUUAAACCGAUACAAGUUUUGUCCUUUGUGUUAAUUAGUGAUCACCUAAAUUCGUGACGCUUUGAAAUAAUAGCCUCUUAAUAGACAAAAAAGUAUAAUCAAUUACAACCUUCGCUGUACUAAAAUAUAUAAUAUGUAUAUAUCAAACCCGUUCGCCUUUAGCACCUUUCGUAGCAAUAAUGUUGUCGCUGGGAUCUCCUCUAGAGCCUCUAAAGCCUUGCUUACCGGAAUCUCCUUGUCUUCCCCUUGGUCCAACAUUACCUUUGAUUCCUUUAUAUUUCUAGCAGAAAAAUAUAUAAAUUGGUUAUCUAAACAUAUUAAGAACUGGUUUCCUACGGAAAAAUAUGACAAAAAUAUAACUUACUGCAAUUUCAUCGCAAUGUGGGCAAAAUACAUCGGCUCCAACUUUCCCUUUGCCGCCUUUAAUAACAAAGCCAGGCGGUCCAGUUGGACCGCGAUUACCUUUUUGUCCACGUUUUCCCUCUAACCCAGUAGGACCAAUAUCUCCAUGUUGACCUUUCGCACCUUUCUUGACCUAAAUGUAAUAAGAUGAAGUGACACAGGCUUAUAAAAGAGAUUAUUUUUCUUGGUAUUUCCAAUAAAAGAUGCUAUCUGCGGACUUUUACAUAACAAGCUAACAAUGUCUACAAAUGUCAUAUAAAUAACAUGCUGACAUCUGGCUGACACAGCAUAUAAUGACUUGUGUGAAAAUAUGAAUUUUUAACCACUAAAGACAAGCACUAGCUAUCAUGAGCAAUUUGAAAUAUACAAUUUGUUGAAACAACUUACCUCGUAAAAAUGAUGAUCGUCAUAAAGUGACUGAACAGCGACAAAAAAUGUCAAGCACACCGCAACUACUUUCUGCAUGAUUUUUAUUUCUCAAUAUCCUGUGUUUCUAUUAGUAGUCUACAAGAAAAACAACAACAAGUACUAUAGCGAACUAAAGAAUUAUAACAUUGGUCUGGAUAAUUCAUUCUUUUUUAAAUAGCAACAUCAAAGCUACACUGGGCUUAAAUAUAAGAAUAGACUUUGCCAAGCCAACCAAAAACUUUUAAAACUAAAAACACACCACAACAAACAAAAUAAGGACAAAUAGUAAACUAGCUGUCAACGUAUUCGUUAAAAUUACUCAUUAAGACUAUGUGGAAUUUAAACAAAUAGAUUUUUAAGAACCAAACAAAGAUAUCACCUACAAUUUGUAACGUUUCAAGAAAAUAACCUUUGUGUAAUACAAUGGGGGGUAGCACUGACGAAUAAAUAACAAACAUUGACAAAUAAAAAACAUACAAAGUAAUAAAAUUCCAUAAGGUACCAUCCAUUUAGUAAGUUUGCAAUCACUGAUUUUUUCGUUCCCUUUUUCUUUUUUGUGUGCAAUCGUGUACGUUGAAAAAGCUCCUCUUUGCUACCUCCCCCUACCAAUUUUUCCUCAUCUUUCUAUUGUUUUACUAUGGAUUUGAUGGCACUAUGUAGGCACUGCUUCUGAAGAAUAUUAGUAUAAUUUCUAUGCUUGCUCGCGCUUUAACAUAAUUGAAUUCUUCCCCACUUUCGUACACAAUAAAUAAGUGACCUAUAACCAAUGAGUGAGUUGGCAAGCAAGCAAGCAAGAAAAACAAACCAACAAACAAACCAGAAAACAAGUGUGAUUCUUUACGAAGAGCGGAUCAUGGAUACCAAUAAACUGGCACAAAUACACUUUGCAUUGCAUAUUUUAACGUUUUAACAUUAUAUAAGCCUCUAUUAAGCCUGUUUAAAGGUUUAAA